GAUGAACGCUGGCGGCGUGCCUAAUACAUGCGAGUCGAGCGAACAGACGAGGAGCUUGCUCCUCUGACGUUAGCGGCGGACGGGUGAGUAACACGUGGAUAACCUACCUAUAAGACUGGGAUAACUUCGGGAAACCGGAGCUAAUACCGGAUAAUAUAUUGAACCGCAUGGUUCAAUAGUGAAAGACGGUUUUGCUGUCACUUAUAGAUGGAUCCGCGCCGCAUUAGCUAGUUGGUAAGGUAACGGCUUACCAAGGCAACGAUGCGUAGCCGACCUGAGAGGGUGAUCGGCCACACUGGAACUGAGACACGGUACAGACUCCUACGGGAGGCAGCAGUAGGGAAUCUUCCGCAAUGGGCGAAAGCCUGACGGAGCAACGCCGCGUGAGUGAUGAAGGUCUUCGGAUCGUAAAACUCUGUUAUUAGGGAAGAACAAAUGUGUAAGUAACUAUGCACGUCUUGACGGUACCUAAUCAGAAAGCCACGGCUAACUACGUG
RNAcentral lists this ribosomal RNA (497 nucleotides) under uncultured bacterium. Its description in RNAcentral is "partial 16S ribosomal RNA". It matches the Rfam family "Bacterial small subunit ribosomal RNA", at positions 28 to 507 of the family's 1533-position model. The record is from RNAcentral.